AUUGUGAAAAGUGCUAUAUAAAUAAAAUUUUCUUGAAUACAUAGAUGAGCUAUAAUAAUAAUCACUUUAAUUUAUAUAGCGCCUUUCAAAGGACCCAAGGUCGGUUGCUCACUGCACUGCAAAAAUGUAUUUCUUACUUAGUAUUUUUGUCUUGUUUUCAGUAAAAAAAAAAAAAAAUCUAAAAAAAAUCUUAAAUAUUUUCUAGAGCAAAAUAACCUAGGAAAAUAAGCAAAAACUCUGCCAGUGAAACAAGAGAACUUUUCUAAAAGUAAGUGUUUAUGGAAAAAGUAAACUUAUUUCAAGAUAAUUUUUCUUAUUAUAUUGACCGAUAUUUAAAUUUUUUGCUUGUUUUAAGCACACAUUUACUUGAAGUUUAUAUUUUUGGUCUAAACCUAUACUUAUUUUGCUAGGUCAUUUAGAAAAUCAAGAAAAUACAUCUUUAUUGUUUUUUUUUAUUAUUUUUACUGAAAACAAUACAAAAAUACCAAGUCAUUUUUGUCAGUGUGACUCCAUUAAAUGUUCUUGUGAUAAAGAAUGUGUGUGUGUGUGUGUGCGCGUGUGAUGUAGAUUAAACAUGAACGGGCCAAAACGGACAUGGCAGCAGGUCAAAAUCAAAUACAAGAACAUUCUGCAGAAUGCAGUGAAAAAGAAUACCCACAGACAAGGCACGGGUGGUGGGUCACCAAAGGCUGACCUUUCCCCAGCAGAGGACAUGGCCUUGGAGCUAAAUAAAGGCAGGCCCGUCUUAGAGGGGAUCCCUGGGGGGAAAGAGACGAGCAUAGGUUCCUCCCAAGAUGCCACCCGCUUCAUUCAAGUGUCUGGCAGCACUGUGUUCCUGUUAGAGCCACCAGCACAAGCACCAGACGAUGCUGAUCCAGGUGAAAGCCCCAGUGCAGCAGCAACAGCACAUGAUGGAGACGAUGAUGAGGAGGAGACCAUCUCUCUGGAUUCCAGAAGGCAUGAGGACCCAGAUGCUAUACAGUGGGAAAACCAGCCUGGCAACAUAAGCUCACAAGCUAUCAGAAAGUUGUAUGGCAACCACCUCCGGCGCCAAAUAGAACUGGCAGACAUAGACAUUCAGUACAAGAAGAAAAAGAUAGAAAAUCUUGCACUGGAGUCCGAAAUAAAAAAGAGGACAAUUAGGAAACUGGACCUUGAAAUAAAAAAACUUGAGAGGGAGGUGAGAUAUGCCUUCAAUGUACACUGUAUGCUAACUGUAACACAAAUGUAUUAAUCAUUAUUUUUCUUUCCUCCCCCAGCUCCAAGAAGAUGACACAGCUCAAAAUAAAAAUUAGCAAUCAGUACAACCAAGUCAUCGUUAUAAGGCACCGGCCUCUUUUGCCCACCCCCCCAGCACCAGGUGUGGCCACUAGCCUAUAUGAAGGCCCAAAAUUGUGUGUUCCUUUCUGCUCUGACAAUGGCAUGCCCAUUCUUGCGAGAUGUGGUGGAUGAAGAAGCACUUGUGCUGAGGAGAGCCUUCAGGCGAGAAAGGGUCUUCAGGGACCGGUUGGACCCACUGGCCUUCCCUGAUGACCAUCUUUA
This is an RNA transcript of Carassius gibelio (silver crucian carp), 1542 nucleotides long. It is a transcript of the gene named putative nuclease HARBI1, with no coding region annotated. The transcript is spliced from 7 exons. Lineage: Eukaryota; Metazoa; Chordata; Actinopteri; Cypriniformes; Cyprinidae. The record is from RefSeq and is a predicted model, not a curated record.